This 132-nucleotide small RNA is filed under the name Klebsiella pneumoniae. Its description in RNAcentral is "RtT sRNA". It matches the Rfam family "RtT RNA". From Rfam's summary of the family: This family represents a bacterial cis-regulatory element known as RtT RNA. Lineage: Bacteria; Pseudomonadati; Pseudomonadota; Gammaproteobacteria; Enterobacterales; Enterobacteriaceae. The record is from RNAcentral.
UAUUCUGCCCCAUGGGGAAGGAUGAGAAGCUUCGACUAAGGUUCGACUCGAGCGAAGCGAGAGAACGUUGCCGAAGGCAACGGCCCGAAGGGCGAGGAAAGAUAGUGACGAGUUAUCCUUCCCCCACCACCA